CUGUGUGAUUACCAGAUACAUGUUUUACCAUCAGUACUAGGUAGAAUUGUCUGUGUGAUUACCAGAUCUGUGUUUUACCAUCAGUACUAGGUAGAAUUGUCUGUGUGAUUACCAGAUCUGUGUUUUACCAUCAGUACUAGGUAGAAUUGUCUGUGUGAUUACCAGAUACAUGUUUUACCAUCAGUACUAGGUAGAAUUGUCUGUGUGAUUACCAGAUCUGUGUUUUACCAUCAGUACUAGGUAGAAUUGUCUGUGUGAUUACCAGAUACAUGUUUUACCAUCAGUACUAGGUAGAAUUGUCUGUGUGAUUACCAGAUACAUGUUUUACCAUCAGUACUAGGUAGAAUUGUCUGUGUGAUUACCAGAUACUUGUUUUACCAUCAGUACUAGGUAGAAUUGUCUGUGUGAUUACCAGAUACAUGUUUUACCAUCAGUACUAGGUAGAAUUGUCUGUGUGAUUACCAGAUACAUGUUUUACCAUCAGUACUAGGUAGAAUUGUCUGUGUGAUUACCAGAUCUGUGUUUUACCAUCAGUACUAGGUAGAAUUGUCUGUGUGAUUACCAUCAGUACUAGGUAGAAUUGUCUGUGUGAUUACCAGAUACAUGUUUUACCAUCAGUACUAGGUAGAAUUGUCUGUGUGAUUACCAGAUCUGUGUUUUACCAUCAGUACUAGGUAGAAUUGUCUGUGUGAUUACCAGAUACAUGUUUUACCAUCAGUACUAGGUAGAAUUGUCUGUGUGAUUACCAGAUCUGUGUUUUACCAUCAGUACUAGGUAGAAUUGUCUGUGUGAUUACCAGAUCUGUGUUUUACCAUCAGUAGAGAUUCUACUUACAGUAAAGCUUUAUUUUUACUAACCUGUUUCCUUGUCUAGUUACAUUUGUAUGUAUAUGCCAAAUACUUGUUACUACUGUUUUGUUGUUACUGUACUGUUGCUGUCCACACUUAAAGCAUUGUAAGCUACAUAUAUGUAAUAAAUUAUAAAGCAGAAAAA
Ylistrum balloti is the source of this 993-nucleotide long non-coding RNA. RefSeq lists it as uncharacterized. The transcript has 3 exons. The record is from RefSeq and is a predicted model, not a curated record. Lineage: Eukaryota; Metazoa; Mollusca; Bivalvia; Pectinida; Pectinidae.